AAUCCCUCACUGCUCUCAGGAAUGUGGAGAGUGUAAGGAAGCCAGGAAAGCCUCAGCUACAUCAGGAGAACAAGCAGGGAAUUAUUUCUAGAAGAGCUUUCCUGGUAAAUGAAUGAGAGCAGGGUUCCCUUCUCCCUAGCACUGCUAGCCAGCAUGGCUCUGGCUGGGUGUUUCCUCUGUGUUUGGUAGGGUGCUUAGUGACAGAGCUGGUCUCUACCCACUAGAGGCCAGUAUCGCCCUUCGGGUUUCAACUAUGACAACCAGCGAUGUUCCGACAUUGGCAAGUGCAGAGUCACCGCAUGGCAGGGAGGGAAGCUUGGCCUCCACCUGAGAGCCAGGGGCUUAAACAAACCCAGGGAACAGCAUGAUUCCUCUCUUUUAUGAACGGAGAAACCAAGCUCUAGAGAACCGUCAGAUGUUCUAUAGAUUUUAGGCAUCAGAAAUCCAUACCACUCUAAGCAUAAACAGGGAGCAUAUUGACCGUGGCAGUUCAGAGAAACGUUGCGCAGACUCCCAGGAUGGAGUGACCCAUCAGGCUUCUAGUCCUGCAACCCAGAGCUCAAGCCUACUUCUGCUUCCUCCUGACUGCUCUGGGUGUGACGGCUGGUGCCCAUCGCCUGUGGAGCCACAGGUCCUACAAGGCCAGCUGCCUCUCGGGAUAUUUCUGGAGUUAGCUGCUGCUAACUCCAAGGCUUUCCAGCUGGGGAUGGAGGUCUCCUGGGCACCAGCUAGCAAUGUGAUAGGACAGAAAAGAUGGGCUUAUCCUUCUCUUCCCUCGCCUCGGCCCAAUGCCCGACCUCAAACACUCUCAGGCUGCUAUGGUUUUCAGUUUUUUAACGUCCUGGAGCUUUAGAUAUAAUAAAUGUGUCUAGGGGAUUUUGUGCUUCAGGUCAUGCUGCCAAGGAGGGAAGGAGACUUCUCCAUCCAGAAUCCAUGCUGUGAAGAUAACCUUGAUGCCUUAGCAUUAGUCCUGUGUGUGUUUUACAUUUGAGCUUCACAGUACCCCAUGAGCUAGUUGUUAUGGGGACCCCAUUUUAUAGACAAGGAAACUCAUGGGUUUCAAGUAGCCCAGGCUAGCCUCACAUUGAUUAUGAAGUUGGGGAUGGCUUUGAACUCCUGAUCCUCCUGCCUGUGCCUCCCAAGUGCUGGGAUUAGAGGCACGCACCGCCACAGGCAGCGUGUGUGGUGCUGAGGUGAACUCGUGCGUGCUAGGCAGGUAGUCUACAAACUAUGUCAUAUCCCUGUACCCCAAAGCAGUGGUCCUCAACCUUCCUAAUGCUGUGACCCCCUAACACAGUUCCUCGUGUUGUGGUGACCCCCAACCAUAAAAUCAUUUGUAUUGCUACUUCAUAACUGUCAUUUUGCUCCUGUUAUGAAUCAUAAUGUAAACAUUUUUGGAGAGAGAGGUUUGCCAACAGGCUUGCGACCCGCAGGUUGAGAACUGCUGCCCUAAAUGAUACCUACUAAAGUUAAAGAACCUACUCGAUGUAUGGAGGUGAAGUGUGUGACAUCCAGGCCCAGCAAAUGAAGAUCUUCUUACUCCGAAGCUAUCACACUUGGAAAACCUAGUCCUUCAAUCGCCCUGCCAAAUCAUGGUGGGAGGUCUGUUGGAUCUGGAGCCCAGGAUUCAGGGACUUAACUCUGACAGAUGCUAGCUGUGAAUCACACAUCCUCUCUAGUUUGUUCCUCUGCAAAAAUAAGAGCGCCUUCAUUGCCAGGGUUGUUACGUAAUCACUGAGGGUUACUGAGUGCUAUGGAAACUUAAGACACCGUUCACCUUGCGCUGGAACUGGGCUGUGUCCUUCAGGGCAUUCCGGCCCUAGACCCUCCCCCACCUUGGACACUUUCUGAGCUGCUGGAAUUUUGGUUUGACCAUAGAUUUUUGUUUCCCCAAUUCCUCAUCUGAUCCAGGCUGCUGGGGUCGGAACAACUGUUUUCCGAGUUUCUACCCAUGUUUACCUACAGACCACUCUAGGCCUGGUUUAUUUUCACCCAUCCAGAAGGAACGGUGGUUUAAAAUCCAGGGAAACAAGCAACCUAGGAGCCUCCUCGUGGCCUCAGACACACACACCUGAAAUGGGUCUCCUAUCCCUCCAAAAAUCUGACCCAAAUGGUUCUCUAGCUGUCCUCAUGGCUGAGAAUUUACUCCCCCACUUUCGGCCUCUCUACAGUUGGGUUGUUCAUAAAGCGAACAGGGUGGCACACAACGGCUCAGUCUGGGAAAUGCAGUCAGCAGGAGGGGCACAGACUCCUAAUUCAAGCACAGCCAGGACUUCCCACCAGGGUCCCGGGAAUAUACCGCUGAGCACGGAGAAGCAGCCAGUGGCCUCUGGGCUCCAUUUCGUUUGCAGCGUGAACUCUGUGCCUUUUCCUUCAGGUUCAGCCAUCAUCUUACUGCUGUGCUGUGCUUUGUUUCUGUCAUAGAUUAGAAACUCAUUGACUGAGAUCUGAGGCACCACUCAGGACUUAGGAUGUUUAUUUAUUUUCUUCAAGCAGUUUAUUGUAUUUAGCUUCCAGUUACACAGUCGUGUAGUAAUAAAACACUCCGAUUAUUGGAAUGUUUUUCCAAGAUAAAUAACUUGUAGUUGAAA
Molecule: long non-coding RNA, 2591 nt
Organism: Peromyscus maniculatus bairdii (prairie deer mouse)
Lineage: Eukaryota; Metazoa; Chordata; Mammalia; Rodentia; Cricetidae
Source: RefSeq, a predicted model, not a curated record